AACAUAUCCGGAGGGCAUUGCCUAGUCAAUAGCUUGUAUCUCUUCCAAGCUUCAUACAGAGUCUCACCAUCUUUCUGCCUAAAAGUCUGAACCUCCAUCCUAAGCUU
This is a small nucleolar RNA of Arachis duranensis, 107 nucleotides long. The record is from RefSeq and is a predicted model, not a curated record. Lineage: Eukaryota; Viridiplantae; Streptophyta; Magnoliopsida; Fabales; Fabaceae.